Molecule: small RNA, 106 nt
Filed under: Marmota monax (woodchuck)
Lineage: Eukaryota; Metazoa; Chordata; Mammalia; Rodentia; Sciuridae
Source: RNAcentral
GCCAGGCACAGUGGCGAAUGCCUGUGAUCCCAGCGACUCGGGAGGCUGAGGUAGGAGGAUCAUGAAUUCAAGCCAGCCUUAGCAACUUAGCGAAACCCUCUCUCUA